GCCCUCGUAGCUCAGCUGGAUAGAGCACAGGUUUCCUAAACCUGGGGUCAUAGGUUCAAAUCCUAUCGGGGGCA
RNAcentral lists this transfer RNA (74 nucleotides) under bacterium. Its description in RNAcentral is "tRNA-Arg". It matches the Rfam family "tRNA". From Rfam's summary of the family: Transfer RNA (tRNA) molecules are approximately 80 nucleotides in length. Their secondary structure includes four short double-helical elements and three loops (D, anti-codon, and T loops). The record is from RNAcentral.